UACCCCAGUUCUUUAUGUUUGCUGCCACUCCCUCCCUCUGAGAACCCUUUCCCCCUGAAAAGAUAUAACCUAGCAGGAACUGGUUUGGAAAAAGUUUUUUUGGUAUUUUUAGAGCAAGCACCAGAAGCACCAGGCUUUCGAAGCAGAGCUGCAUGCCAAUGCUGACCGGAUCCGCGGGGUUAUCGACAUGGGCAACUCCCUCAUUGAACGUGGAGCCUGUGCCGGCAGUGAGGAUGCUGUCAAGGCCCGCCUGGCUGCCUUAGCUGACCAGUGGCAGUUCUUGGUGCAAAAGUCAGCUGAAAAGAGCCAGAAACUGAAAGAAGCCAACAAGCAGCAGAACUUCAACACAGGGAUCAAGGACUUUGACUUCUGGCUGUCUGAGGUGGAGGCCCUGCUGGCAUCUGAAGAUUAUGGCAAAGACCUGGCUUCUGUGAACAACCUGCUGAAAAAGCAUCAACUGCUGGAAGCAGAUAUAUCUGCCCAUGAGGAUCGCCUGAAGGACCUGAACAGCCAGGCAGACAGCCUGAUGACCAGCAGUGCCUUCGACACCUCCCAAGUAAAGGACAAGAGGGACACCAUCAACGG
Molecule: small RNA, 585 nt
Filed under: Pongo abelii (Sumatran orangutan)
Lineage: Eukaryota; Metazoa; Chordata; Mammalia; Primates; Hominidae
Description: retained intron
Source: RNAcentral